This 342-nucleotide unclassified non-coding RNA is filed under the name soil metagenome. Its description in RNAcentral is "partial contains 5.8S ribosomal RNA, internal transcribed spacer 2, and large subunit ribosomal RNA". The stretch from base 1 to 120 matches the Rfam family "5.8S ribosomal RNA", at positions 35 to 154 of the family's 154-position model. The record is from RNAcentral.
GAUGAAGAACGCAGCGAAAUGCGAUAAGUAAUGUGAAUUGCAGAAUUCAGAGAAUCAUCGAAUCUUUGAACGCACAUUGCGCCCGCCAGCACUCUGGCGGGCAUGCCUGUUCGAGCGUCAUUUCAACCAUCAAGCCCCCAGGGGCUUGUGCUGGGGCCCUGCGGCUGCCCGCAGGCCCUGAAAACCAGUGGCGGGCUCGCUAGUCACACCGAGCGCAGUAGCACAUCUCGCUCAGGGCGUGCGGCGGGCUCCUGCCGUGAAACCCCCCACUGUAACCCCAAAGGUUGACCUCGGAUCAGGUAGGAAUACCCGCUGAACUUAAGCAUAUCAAUAAGCGGAGGA